UCCCUGGUGGUCCAGUGGUUAGGACUCUGUGCUUCCACUCCAGGGGACACAGGUUCAAUCCCUGGUCUGAGAA
Molecule: transfer RNA, 73 nt
Filed under: Bos taurus (domestic cattle)
Lineage: Eukaryota; Metazoa; Chordata; Mammalia; Artiodactyla; Bovidae
Also listed under: 1 other name
Rfam family: tRNA
About the family: Transfer RNA (tRNA) molecules are approximately 80 nucleotides in length.
Source: Rfam by way of RNAcentral